This 104-nucleotide small nuclear RNA is filed under the name Carlito syrichta (Philippine tarsier). Lineage: Eukaryota; Metazoa; Chordata; Mammalia; Primates; Tarsiidae. The record is from RNAcentral.
GUGCACACUUUGACAGCACACAUACUAAAAUUGGAAUGAUACAGAGAUUAGCAUAGCCCUUGGGCAAGGAUGACAUGCAGAUUCAUGAAGCCUUCCAUAUUUAA